ACGGGGGGUGCAAGCGUUGUCCGGAAUCACUGGGCGUAAAGCGCGCGCAGGCGGCUCGGUAAGUCAGUUGUGAAAUCCCUGGGCUUAACCCAGGAAGUGCAUUUGAUACUGUGUAGCUAGAGUACGGGAGAGGAAAGUGGAAUUCCUGGUGUAGAGGUGAAAUUCGUAGAUAUCAGGAGGAACACCGGUGGCGAAGGCGGCUUUCUGGCCCGAUACUGACGCUCAGGCGCGAAAGCGUGGGGAGCAAACCG
Molecule: ribosomal RNA, 251 nt
Filed under: uncultured prokaryote
Description: partial 16S rRNA
Rfam family: Bacterial small subunit ribosomal RNA
Source: RNAcentral